This 452-nucleotide ribosomal RNA is filed under the name Sphingomonas sp. Its description in RNAcentral is "bacterial SSU rRNA". It matches the Rfam family "Bacterial small subunit ribosomal RNA", at positions 971 to 1423 of the family's 1533-position model. Lineage: Bacteria; Pseudomonadati; Pseudomonadota; Alphaproteobacteria; Sphingomonadales; Sphingomonadaceae. The record is from RNAcentral.
UUACCAGCGUUUGACAUGUCCGGACGACUUCGAGAGAUCGAUUUCUUCCCUUCGGGGACUGGAACACAGGUGCUGCAUGGCUGUCGUCAGCUCGUGUCGUGAGAUGUUGGGUUAAGUCCCGCAACGAGCGCAACCCUCGAUCUUAGUUACCAUCAUUUAGUUGGGGACUCUAAGAUAACCGCCGGUGAUAAGCCGGAGGAAGGUGGGGAUGACGUCAAGUCCUCAUGGCCCUUACGCGCUGGGCUACACACGUGCUACAAUGGCAGGUACAGUGGGCAGCAAUCCCGCGAGGGUGAGCUAAUCUCCAAAACCUGUCUCAGUUCGGAUUGUUCUCUGCAACUCGAGAGCAUGAAGGCGGAAUCGCUAGUAAUCGCGGAUCAGCAUGCCGCGGUGAAUACGUUCCCAGGCCUUGUACACACCGCCCGUCACACCAUGGGAGUUGGAUUCACCCG